RNAcentral lists this ribosomal RNA (895 nucleotides) under Transversotrema sp. 1 JAH-2009. RNAcentral describes it as "eukaryotic LSU rRNA". It matches the Rfam family "Eukaryotic large subunit ribosomal RNA", at positions 38 to 647 of the family's 3401-position model. The record is from RNAcentral. Lineage: Eukaryota; Metazoa; Platyhelminthes; Trematoda; Azygiida; Transversotrematidae.
GCAUAUCACUAAGCGGAGGAAAAGAAACUAACAAGGAUUCCCUUAGUAACUGCGAGUGAAGAGGGAAAAGCCCAGCACCGAAGGUAGUAUCCAUUUGGGUAUCUACCAAUGUGGUGUUAAGGUCAGCUCGCGUAGGUGCGGCUCCAUCUCAAGUCCAGCAAUGAGUACGGCUAUGGACUGAGCCCAGAGCGGGUGAAAGGCCCGUUGAGGUGGAGUUCAGAAAUGACCGCGCCUAUCGUGUUUGACCAUGGAGUCGGGUUGUUUGUGAAUGCAGCCCUAAGCGGGUGGUAAACUCCAUCCAAGGCUAAAUACUUACACGAGUCCGAUAGCGAACAAGUACCGUGAGGGAAAGUUGAAAAGUACUUUGAAGAGAGAGUAAACAGUGCGUGAAGCCGCAUAGAGGUUAAACGGGUAGAGUUAAACUGCGUGGGUCAUGGAUUCAGCCGAUGAAUGUGACUUGUGCUUGGACAAAUUGAUUCGUCUUCAGAGUCUGCUUAGCUGCAGGUCCCAUCCGGGAUUCACGAAGCACUUACCAAGUGUUGUGUGCUCUGUUGAUGAGAUGUCAGUUCGUCGGUGCACUUCCAUGACUCCUUGACCACGAUCGGUGUCAUUGGACUGUCCUCGUUGUCAAACUGUGGAUGUAGAAUUUUCUAUGUCUUCGGUGUGGUAGCACCCCUGUGUAUGCAGGUCGCAGUUGUCUUCGAGAUACAAGCUGAUGGACCGGGGCGACGGCCUUGGCGUGCUCUUAUACCCUCUGAUAGAUUGUGUUGGGUAUGGUUUUUGUGUGCUUGUGUAAGCAGGCCCAUUGACUACUCAGUGUUUUCUAUUAGUGUGGUGUCGGGGUGGCCAAUUUUGAGGGCCAAAGUCAGUGGUGUGUGGUAAACUUUCUACCCGA